RNAcentral lists this ribosomal RNA (510 nucleotides) under bacterium enrichment culture clone ALO1_GLFRUDD03G6M44. RNAcentral describes it as "bacterial SSU rRNA". It matches the Rfam family "Bacterial small subunit ribosomal RNA", at positions 9 to 514 of the family's 1533-position model. The record is from RNAcentral.
GAGUUUGAUCGUGGCUCAGAUUGAACGCUGGCGGCAGGCCUAACACAUGCAAGUCGAGCGGUAGAGAGAAGCUUGCUUCUCUUGAGAGCGGCGGACGGGUGAGUAAUGCCUAGGAAUCUGCCUGGUAGUGGGGGAUAACGUUCGGAAACGGACGCUAAUACCGCAUACGUCCUACGGGAGAAAGCAGGGGACCUUCGGGCCUUGCGCUGUCAGAUGAGCCUAGGUCGGAUUAGCUAGUUGGUGAGGUAAUGGCUCACCAAGGCGACGAUCCGUAACUGGUCUGAGAGGAUGAUCAGUCACACUGGAACUGAGACACGGUCCAGACUCCUACGGGAGGCAGCAGUGGGGAAUAUUGGACAAUGGGCGAAAGCCUGAUCCAGCCAUGCCGCGUGUGUGAAGAAGGUCUUCGGAUUGUAAAGCACUUUAAAGUUGGAGGAAGGGCAGUUACCUAAUACGUGAUUGUUUGACGUUACCGACAGAAUAAAGCACCGGCUAACUCUGUGCCAGCAG